AGCUCCAGUAGCGUAUAUUAAAGUUGUUGCAGUUAAAAAGCUCGUAGUUGGAUUUCUGGCGUGACGUGCCUGGCCCGCCGCGUAAGCGAGUGAGUGCCGGUGCGCGUCUGCCAUCCUUCCAGAACGCACUCCUGCCCUUCACUGGGAUUGUGGAGACGGCGGUCUGGAUCUUUUACUUUGAAAAAAUUAGAGUGUUUAAAGCAGGCUUGCGCUAUGAAUACAUUAGCAUGGAAUAAUAAGAUAGGACUUGAGUCUCUAUUUUGUUGGUUUCUAGAACUUGAGUAAUGAUUGAUAGGGAUAGUUGGGGGUGCUAGUAUUGAACGGCCAGAGGUGAAAUUCUUGGAUUCGUUCAAGACUAACUUAUGCGAAAGCAUUCACCAAGGAUGUCUUCUUUAAUCAA
Molecule: ribosomal RNA, 400 nt
Filed under: phytoplankton environmental sample
Lineage: Eukaryota
Description: partial small subunit ribosomal RNA
Rfam family: Eukaryotic small subunit ribosomal RNA
Source: RNAcentral